UGUAUCAAAAGACAAUAGAAGAUUUAAAUGCACAGUAAAACGUUCAAGCGUGUUCUAACAGAGUGAAAUGAAUUGUUUCAGAGUUAAUUUGAGACUUCACUGUUUACAGCACUUACUGUAACUGUGUGAGGCUAUUGACACAAAUAUACAUUUGAUUUGUUUCUCUUUGUGGCUCAUGGUGUAACAUGCCAAACUGUAUUUAAUUCCAUACAGCCACCUAAGAAACAAUUCAAUUUCUAUAACAUGUUGGACUGCAUGUACUACUUAUAGAUGUAAAUUCAGUUUUAAAGAAAACCAGCUUUCUAAUGCAUUUGUCUAAACAAAUAUCCUACUAGCUGAAAAACUGCAGAGCACAAGGAUAAUACUUUUUGUAUGUUAGUUUUUUUCUUCAGGUUAGUAACUUCCUGUCUUCUUUCCUGUCAUGAUGUUCUGUAGCGCUGAGUUUUCACAUCACAUAGAUCACAGAGAAGAAGCCAUAGACAUGAGCACUUGUGAUUUGAUUUUACUUCUAUUGUACUUUGGCUCCCAGCAGACAGCAUUUGUAAAGGGAGCUGAUGUCAUCCAGACACCCAGGCAGGCUGUGAUGAAGACUGGGGAAUCAGUCAAGAUCUCCUGCUCUCACAAGGACAGCAGUUUACACUAUUUAUACUGGUACUGGCAGCUGCCUGGCAAAGGCAUCGAGUUAAUCGCAUAUAUUCUCACAAAUCAGGAGGCAACAUUUGAAAAAGACUUCAGCAACAGAACAGAAAGAUAUGAAAUAAAGAAGCCAGAGACACUGUUUGGAUCAUUCAGGAUCAAAGCCUUGCAGAUAUCAGACAGUGCUGUGUACUUCUGUGCAGCAACCCAGCACAGUGGGGCAGCAUUGCCUCUUCCAUGAACAAAAAGUAAUGCAGGGAGAAGGCCUACCAGUAGGGGGAGUCAUUACUAGCAACAUGAGGCCACAAAUGAAAUGUGUGUGACCACAGGGCUCAAAAGAGAGCUGAGAUGAGCUGAGAGCUUCAAGAGUGCCAGUCUGCUGGGUUUGCUCGCAUUCAGAAACACAGGAACGCUCCUUUCUGUGACAUGAUUAAUGUGAAGACCCUGAAUUUUUCUAAAAAGGAGAGAGUCUGCUUUAUACUCCACGUCCACAUAAUGUCUCUGUUAGGGUUCUCAGGAGCCAUCACUGUACAGCAGUCCCCAUCUUCUCUCUUUAGAAAACUCAAUGAUGAUGUCCAGCUCACCUGCCAACAUGAUGAUAGCACCUAUUACACAAUGCUGUGGUACCAGCAAGCUAAAGGAAAACA
Molecule: long non-coding RNA, 1283 nt
Organism: Anguilla anguilla (European eel)
Lineage: Eukaryota; Metazoa; Chordata; Actinopteri; Anguilliformes; Anguillidae
Exons: 3
Source: RefSeq, a predicted model, not a curated record